RNAcentral lists this ribosomal RNA (392 nucleotides) under uncultured bacterium. RNAcentral describes it as "partial 16S ribosomal RNA". It matches the Rfam family "Bacterial small subunit ribosomal RNA", at positions 523 to 918 of the family's 1533-position model. The record is from RNAcentral.
AUACGGAGGAUCCGAGCGUUAUCCGGAUUUAUUGGGUUUAAAGGGUGCGCAGGCGGCCAUUUAAGUCAGCGGUUAAAUCGUGGGGCUCAACCCCAUUCUGCCGUUGAUACUGGGUGGCUUGAUUGCGGUCGAGGUUGGCGGAAUUCGUUGUGUAGCGGUGAAAUGCAUAGAUAUGACGAAGAACACCGAUUGCGUAGGCAGCUGACCAGAUCGCAAAAGACGCUCAUGCACGAAAGUGCGGGGAUCGAACAGGAUUAGAUACCCUGGUAGUCCGCACAGUAAACGAUGAAUACUUGUUUUCGGCGAUAUAAUGUCGGAGGCAAAGCGAAAGCGAUAAGUAUUCCACCUGGGGAGUACGCCGGCAACGGUGAAACUCAAAUGAAUUGACGGGG